UCCCUGGUGCUGUAGUGGUUAAGGAUCCAGCAUUGUCACUGCUGUGGCAUGGGUUCAACCCCCAGCCUGGGAA
Molecule: transfer RNA, 73 nt
Filed under: Sus scrofa (pig)
Lineage: Eukaryota; Metazoa; Chordata; Mammalia; Artiodactyla; Suidae
Rfam family: tRNA
About the family: Transfer RNA (tRNA) molecules are approximately 80 nucleotides in length. Their secondary structure includes four short double-helical elements and three loops (D, anti-codon, and T loops).
Source: Rfam by way of RNAcentral